AUUGAACGCUGGCGGCAUGCUUUACACAUGCAAGUCGAACGGCAGCACGGGCUUCGGCCUGGUGGCGAGUGGCGAACGGGUGAGUAAUAUAUCGGAACGUACCCAAGAGUGGGGAUAACGUAGCGAAAGUUACGCUAAUACCGCAUACGAUCUACGGAUGAAAGCAGGGGACCGCAAGGCCUUGUGCUCCUGGAGCGGCCGAUAUCUGAUUAGCUAGUUGGUGAGGUAAAGGCUCACCAAGGCGACGAUCAGUAGCUGGUCUGAGAGGACGACCAGCCACACUGGAACUGAGACACGGUCCAGACUCCUACGGGAGGCAGCAGUGGGGAAUUUUGGACAAUGGGCGCAAGCCUGAUCCAGCAAUGCCGCGUGAGUGAAGAAGGCCUUCGGGUUGUAAAGCUCUUUUGUCAGGGAAGAAACGGCAGGCGCUAAUAUCGCCUGCUAAUGACGGUACCUGAAGAAUAAGCACCGGCUAACUACGUG
This 483-nucleotide ribosomal RNA is filed under the name uncultured Massilia sp. RNAcentral's name for it is "bacterial SSU rRNA". It matches the Rfam family "Bacterial small subunit ribosomal RNA", at positions 30 to 507 of the family's 1533-position model. Lineage: Bacteria; Pseudomonadati; Pseudomonadota; Betaproteobacteria; Burkholderiales; Oxalobacteraceae. The record is from RNAcentral.